AAAUAACAAUGAUUCCAUUAGUAACGGCGAGUGAAACUGGAUCUAGUUCAGCCUGUGAAUCGCUACAUAGUAGCGAGUUGUGGCUUAUAGAAGAUGUGUCGGACUAGACUUCAGGCUUAAUUAUACUGGAACGUAUAGGCGAAGAGGUUGAGACCACCGUUCAUGUUUGAAGUUCUUGUCCAUGGCAUACACCUUCGACGAGUCGAUUUGCUUGGGAUUGCAGAUCAAAGUGUCACGUAAAUUUGUGAUAAAACUAAAUAUUGGUGGGAAACCGAUAGCGAACAAGUAAUGUGAAUGAAAGUUGCAAAGAACUUUGAAAAGAGAGUUAAAGAGUACUCGAAAUCGUUGAAAGGGAAGCGUACGCAAACAGUGUUUCACUGCACCAUCUUUCUUCAUUAGCUUGCUAUUGAAGCGCUGUGGUGUAGAGUUUGUCAACAAGGGUUUGGAUCGAAGCAUAAGUAUGGCUGGGAGGCACACGUCUUUUCGUGGAUUACCAGCCUGUCUCGUUUUGGUC
RNAcentral lists this ribosomal RNA (514 nucleotides) under Chaetoceros galeatus. RNAcentral's name for it is "partial large subunit ribosomal RNA". It matches the Rfam family "Eukaryotic large subunit ribosomal RNA", at positions 63 to 578 of the family's 3401-position model. Lineage: Eukaryota; Bacillariophyta; Thalassiosirophyceae; Chaetocerotales; Chaetocerotaceae. The record is from RNAcentral.